Passer domesticus (house sparrow) is the source of this 491-nucleotide long non-coding RNA. RefSeq lists it as uncharacterized. The transcript has 5 exons. Lineage: Eukaryota; Metazoa; Chordata; Aves; Passeriformes; Passeridae. The record is from RefSeq and is a predicted model, not a curated record.
UCCUACAAAGUGAUGGAGGUGGGACAGAGCUGUUCCUCAUGUCACAAACACUGCAGACAACAUAAAGGUUUGUGGAGUGUGUAGGUAAGUGGCGUGGGUAGGUGUAAGAGCAGAGCUGGGAAAUCCUUACAUAAGAGUGUGUCAAAUAUUUUGGUAGCUGGUGAUGUAAUUUGAAUCUGUUUUGCCAUUUGGAAACUAAACUUGCCCUGGAGCUUUGAAUGUUUUUGAAAUGCCAUAGGGCUGGAUGAUCUUGAAUGCAAAAGAUUGAAGACAAGAGAUACUGAGCAUCUAAAAAGCCAUAUCCGAUGUACAGAAACUUUCCUGUACUGCAAGUGAUAUCUGAGCUGAUGCUACCUACCAGAUUGUGUGAUUCUUAAGCUCUAGUAAUUUUUUACUGUGGAUACCAGUGAAAUGAGUCUAUGUCAGCUGAUUGACACAUGUGAGACAGAUUCUGGGGAAAUGGAUGAAGCCUAACUACUACAUGUUUCCUG